UAGGGAAUCUUCCGCAAUGGGCGAAAGCCUGACGGAGCAACGCCGCGUGAGUGAUGAAGGUCUUCGGAUCGUAAAACUCUGUUAUUAGGGAAGAACAAAUGUGUAAGUAACUAUGCACGUCUUGACGGUACCUAAUCAGAAAGCCACGGCUAACUACGUGCCAGCAGCCGCGGUAAUACGUAGGUGGCAAGCGUUAUCCUGAAUUAUUGGGCGUAAAGCGCGCGUAGGCGGUUUUUUAAGUCUGAUGUGAAAGCCCACGGCUCAACCGUGGAGGGUCAUUGGAAACUGGAAAACUUGAGUGCAGAAGAGGAAAGUGGAAUUCCGUGUGUAGCAGUGAAAUGCGCAGAGAUAUGGAGGAACACCAGUGGCGAAGGCGACUUUCUGGUCUGUAACUGACGCUGAUGUGCGAAAGCGUGGGGAUCAAACAGG
This 429-nucleotide ribosomal RNA is filed under the name Actinomycetes bacterium. Its description in RNAcentral is "Actinobacteria bacterium partial 16S ribosomal RNA". It matches the Rfam family "Bacterial small subunit ribosomal RNA", at positions 355 to 776 of the family's 1533-position model. The record is from RNAcentral. Lineage: Bacteria; Bacillati; Actinomycetota; Actinomycetes.